GUGAAGAAAACACGAGUCAUCAUGGGGAACUUUGUAAAAGAACCAGAGGAUCUCAGUGGCGCUGUGAUGGUGGAUGUUACUGUGCUGAGAGUCUGCUGCACUCUUGAUGAGAUUUUCUGCUUCUGAGGAAGUGAAGAAGAACCUGACGGGCACUGUGGGAGGAAACAUCACUCUACCUGACUCUGUGCUGGGGGAAGGAUUUCUGUUAUAUGAAAGAAAGAUUAUUGCUCUGGUGAAUAAUGGAGAAAUUAAAGUCUACAAGAACAGACUUCAGUGGGACAGAAACUCUGGACUCUUUACACUCAGAGAGCUGCAGAGGAACGACUCAGGGAUUUAUACUGUCGACUCUAAAACAGGAAAAGGUUUCACAUCAUCAUAUAAGCUCACAGUGUACGACUCUGUACCGACUCCUGCAGUGAAGAAAGUGAGUGUGAGCUCUGAGAGCUGCUCCUUACUGUGUCGGGUGGACAGAGAGACCACACUGCUGUGGUUCAAAGACGAGCAGAUGCUGAACCAGAGCAGCUCUGCGCUCUCUCUGCCUCUCACUGUGCACAAACAGGACUUCAGCUCCUCUUACAGAUGUGUGGCUGCAAACCCUGCAGAGGAGAAAACUCUUCCUGUCCAUGUGAGAACCACCUGUGGAGACACAGACGACAACGACACCAACAGCUCGACUGAACCAAGAAACUAUAACAUCCUCAUUAUAAUCUUCUGUGUCCUGAGUGCUACCCUCAUCAUCAUCGUCAUCAUCAUGAAGAGGAAGCAUCCUGUCCAAGACAAGUUUAAACUCCUACAAGCUGCAGGCAGAGCUCCUGUGGAUGAAGUGCUCCUUUACACUGGCACAGCUGACAGCAGACAGGGUGGGAUUUUAGCGGCGGUAUCGGGAACCAGUGAUGGCUCCAGUCUGACAGCAGUGUCUUACAAACUGGUGCUCGUCACACGAGAGGUGUGACUGGCUGGAACGUCCGAGGAAAGCUGGACUCUGGAAAGAAGUUUUCCUUUGGUACUGAUGAUUUGGAUUGAUUAUGAAUAAAGUGCAUUUUUACAGUGUGAAUGUGCCACAGAAGAGUUUCCAUCUACGUCAUCAUGACCUCUGACCUGCUCCUCUGACACUGAUCAUAAAAGACUGUAUCCAGACAAUGGACAGAGGACGCAGCUGUACGUCAUGUUUACCUGUCAAAUCAUUCAAAUGAUGCAACAAAGCAAAGACUUCCCUCUCUGUCACCUACCUGCUGCCUUGACUCCUCUCUCCUCGCGUCUCUUCCUCGCCUCCUCUCUUUGCAUCCUCAGAGGGAGGGUCUAGGACAAGGGGAGAGGAGGUGAGGGAAGGAAACUUUGGAAGGAUCUGAGGUGAACCUUCACGUCUCCUCUUCAUCGUUUACCUUCGUGGACUCUGAAGGCCUCGUAGUAGGUCUGGGACUAGUAGGACCAGGUCUGUGUGUGAGGAGGAGCAGCUGGGCUUGGAAGAAAGCAGCAGAGACUGAAUCACAUUUGAUUCUGAUCAAUAUUCCUUCAAAGGUUUAUUUGUGAUGUGAGUGCAUGUAGAUCUCCAGGACGAGCCUUACUGCUGCUCUGAGGACUGAAAGCUUCACUGAGCUCUGAUUUAUUUCUCUGCUUUUAAUUCACACCUUUAACUUCACACUUUUGUCCACAGUUCAAACUCCAGCAGCUCACAGAGCUCAUCACUGCCUCCGUCAGCUCACAGGGCGCCCCCUUGUGGUCACUGACAAGCUGUUCACAAAUUAGAUUUGAUGUCAUUUAUUCUCAUCUUCCCGACUGUUGCUGCAAAUACAUGAAAUAAAUAACAGAAGCUUUGUGAGUGUU
Astatotilapia calliptera (eastern happy) is the source of this 1824-nucleotide long non-coding RNA. The record is from Ensembl. NCBI's taxonomy places the organism in Eukaryota, Metazoa, Chordata, Actinopteri, Cichliformes, Cichlidae.